RNAcentral lists this ribosomal RNA (128 nucleotides) under Colletotrichum echinochloae. Its description in RNAcentral is "5.8S ribosomal RNA". The stretch from base 32 to 128 matches the Rfam family "5.8S ribosomal RNA", at positions 1 to 97 of the family's 154-position model. From Rfam's summary of the family: 5.8S ribosomal RNA (5.8S rRNA) is a component of the large subunit of the eukaryotic ribosome. It is transcribed by RNA polymerase I as part of the 45S precursor that also contains 18S and 28S rRNA. Functionally, it is thought that 5.8S rRNA may be involved in ribosome translocation. Lineage: Eukaryota; Fungi; Ascomycota; Sordariomycetes; Glomerellales; Glomerellaceae. The record is from RNAcentral.
UUUCCUCUGAGUGGCACAAGCAAAUAAUUAAAACUUUUAACAACGGAUCUCUUGGUUCUGGCAUCGAUGAAGAACGCAGCGAAAUGCGAUAAGUAAUGUGAAUUGCAGAAUUCAGUGAAUCAUCGAAU